RNAcentral lists this long non-coding RNA (310 nucleotides) under Olea europaea (common olive). RNAcentral describes it as "long non-coding RNA (OEUR_LNC004389)". Lineage: Eukaryota; Viridiplantae; Streptophyta; Magnoliopsida; Lamiales; Oleaceae. The record is from RNAcentral.
UCAACGAUGGAUGGGUUUUACUAUAAAAACGACCCUUUGCUUUGUUUGGCAGCUGGAUCGUCAUUUUCUGUUCUCUGUUUUUCUCUGCGUCUUCUGGAACCUUCAAGGGCUUCGUCUUUGUGACUCUUUCUUCUUGUCUGUGUGAGAUUUUCUGUUGAUUAUCUUUGUGAUAAUCGUGUCCUUGUGUUAGUCUCCUUUGUGUGAGUAAACUGUUGGAAGUGGUCUGUCCAUUUUCGGUUCCAAUGAAGCGACUUUGUGUUUGGGGUUGUGAGGGCUCGUGUUUCUGAGUUCGAUGCCUCUGUGAUGGUCU